GGUGAGUAACACGUGAGUAACCUGCCUUAGACAUUGGGAUAGCCUCGGGAAACCGGGAUUAAUACCAAAUAAAAUCAUAAUGACACAUGUCAUAACGAUCAAAACUCCGGUGGUCUAAGAUGGACUCGCGUCCCAUUAGCUAGUUGGUAGAGUAAAAGCCUACCAAGGCGACGAUAGGUAGCCGGCCUGAGAGGGUGAACGGCCACAUUGGAACUGAGAAACGGUCCAA
Molecule: ribosomal RNA, 229 nt
Filed under: uncultured Eubacteriales bacterium
Lineage: Bacteria; Bacillati; Bacillota; Clostridia; Eubacteriales
Description: uncultured Clostridiales bacterium partial 16S ribosomal RNA
Rfam family: Bacterial small subunit ribosomal RNA
Source: RNAcentral